GAUAGUGACUUCCCAGGUGAUG
This 22-nucleotide microRNA is filed under the name Blattella germanica (German cockroach). RNAcentral describes it as "Bge-Mir-3-P29-v1_5p* (star (passenger))". Lineage: Eukaryota; Metazoa; Arthropoda; Insecta; Blattodea; Blattellidae. The record is from RNAcentral.